RNAcentral lists this ribosomal RNA (116 nucleotides) under Scophthalmus maximus (turbot). The record is from RNAcentral. Lineage: Eukaryota; Metazoa; Chordata; Actinopteri; Pleuronectiformes; Scophthalmidae.
GCUUACGGCCACACCGCCUUUCACGCCCGAUCUCGUUUGAUCUCGGAAGCUAAGAUAGGUUGGGCCUGGUUAGUACUUGGAUGGGAACUGCCUGGGAAUACCAGGUGCUGUAAAGC